This 403-nucleotide ribosomal RNA is filed under the name uncultured bacterium. RNAcentral describes it as "partial 16S ribosomal RNA". It matches the Rfam family "Bacterial small subunit ribosomal RNA", at positions 29 to 526 of the family's 1533-position model. The record is from RNAcentral.
AUUGAACGCUGGCGGCAGGCCUAACACAUGCAAGUCGAGCGAGCGGCGGACGGGUGAGUAAUGUAUGGGGACUGCCCGAUAGAGGGGGAUAACUACUGGAAACGGUGGCUAAUACCGAAUACUAGCGGAUAACACAUAUGGGAUUAGCUAGUAGGUGGGGUAAAGGCUCACCUAGGCGACGAUGUCUAGCUGGUCUGAGAGGAUGAUCAGCCAAACUGGGACGGAGACACGGCCCAGACUCCAACGGAGGCAGAAGUGGGGAAUAUUGCACAAGGGGCGCAAGCCUGAUGCAGCCAUGCCGCGUGUGUGAAGAAGGCCUUAGGGUUGUAAAGUACUUUCAGCGGGGAAGCGUUACCCGCAGAGGAAGCACCGGCUAACUCCGUGCCAGCAGCCGCGGUAAUUC